This 29-nucleotide non-coding RNA is filed under the name Homo sapiens (human). Lineage: Eukaryota; Metazoa; Chordata; Mammalia; Primates; Hominidae. The record is from RNAcentral.
UUGGGUNUCUGGGCUGCAGUAAAGGCUCA